Molecule: ribosomal RNA, 522 nt
Filed under: Bifidobacterium adolescentis
Lineage: Bacteria; Bacillati; Actinomycetota; Actinomycetes; Bifidobacteriales; Bifidobacteriaceae
Description: partial 16S ribosomal RNA
Rfam family: Bacterial small subunit ribosomal RNA
Source: RNAcentral
GGUAAUGCCGGAUGCUCCAGUUGACCGCAUGGUCCUCUGGGAAAGCUUUUGCGGUAUGGGAUGGGGUCGCGUCCUAUCAGCUUGAUGGCGGGGUAACGGCCCACCAUGGCUUCGACGGGUAGCCGGCCUGAGAGGGCGACCGGCCACAUUGGGACUGAGAUACGGCCCAGACUCCUACGGGAGGCAGCAGUGGGGAAUAUUGCACAAUGGGCGCAAGCCUGAUGCAGCGACGCCGCGUGCGGGAUGACGGCCUUCGGGUUGUAAACCGCUUUUGACUGGGAGCAAGCCCUUCGGGGUGAGUGUACCUUUCGAAUAAGCACCGGCUAACUACGUGCCAGCAGCCGCGGUAAUACGUAGGGUGCAAGCGUUAUCCGGAAUUAUUGGGCGUAAAGGGCUCGUAGGCGGUUCGUCGCGUCCGGUGUGAAAGUCCAUCGCUUAACGGUGGAUCCGCGCCGGGUACGGGCGGGCUUGAGUGCGGUAGGGGAGACUGGAAUUCCCGGUGUAACGGUGGAAUGUGUAGAU